RNAcentral lists this unclassified non-coding RNA (300 nucleotides) under uncultured Dominikia. RNAcentral's name for it is "sequence contains 5.8S rRNA gene, ITS2". The stretch from base 1 to 71 matches the Rfam family "5.8S ribosomal RNA", at positions 84 to 154 of the family's 154-position model. The record is from RNAcentral. Lineage: Eukaryota; Fungi; Glomeromycota; Glomeromycetes; Glomerales; Glomeraceae.
GUGAAUCAUCGAAUCUUUGAACGCAUAUUGCACUCUCUGGUAUUCCGGAGAGUAUGCCUGUUUGAGGGUCUGUUAAAUAAAAAUCGGGGUUGUUGCUGCCUUUUUUUGUGUGGUGACGCUUCGGAAUUGGGUAAUCUUACCUUCGGGUUAAGUAAGUGACCUAAAAUUUUGCAUGAUUUUUUCGAACGUAUUUGAAUUUUUUUACGUACGUUUGUGAUAAUCGAAUAUAUUAGGUGUGGUCAUCCUCAUGAUUUCACGUCUAUAAUUUUUUUUUUCAUUUUUAGACCUCAAAUCAGGUAA